Molecule: long non-coding RNA, 350 nt
Filed under: Apteryx rowi (Okarito brown kiwi)
Lineage: Eukaryota; Metazoa; Chordata; Aves; Apterygiformes; Apterygidae
Description: lncRNA (ENSARWG00000005132.1)
Source: RNAcentral
GGCGGGGCUGCAGCUCUGCGAGCCCACGGAGCUCUACAACCUCCUCAACCAGUACGGCAGGCUCUCCAGGCUCACCGAGCCCAACUACCUCUGCCUGCUGGAUGCCCGCACUCAGCGUGAGUACGAUGAGAGCCAUAUUAUUACUGCACGCAGGAUUGAACAGAGCCCUACAGGGGAGUAUCUUGUUCCGGAUUCAGAGGAGUUGGAGUGUGUCAGAUACUGUGUUGUGUAUGAUUGCGAGACCAGCUCUUUGGAUCUCUGUGAUUAUGAGAAAGAGGAGAGUGAAAAAGGUACGUCAGCUGGCUGGAAAGGCAAACUCUGACCUCACUGCAGGAUAGAUACUCUUCACG